Molecule: non-coding RNA, 549 nt
Organism: Dermacentor albipictus
Lineage: Eukaryota; Metazoa; Arthropoda; Arachnida; Ixodida; Ixodidae
Source: RefSeq, a predicted model, not a curated record
ACGCAGUAUACGCUUUGCAAACCUUGAGUGCAAGUGAUGUAUUCGUUGAGACUUGCCUUGUUUAUUAUCCUGGCUGUUGAAACUUAUGGGUUAUCUAUUCAUGACCUUAAAACCCAUCUGGCCACGAUGCAGAGAAUUUGGACUCGGUACCGGAGUUUCGAAAGAAGCACCCACAGGCAUAAGCACGUCUGCAUAUACUUUGAUGUACGCCCCCAGGCAACCGGAACAUAUUUAUUCACCCAGCAUUACGAGCUUGACCGAAAAUGGAGAAGCCAUCAGUUUUAUGGAGCAAUAUCCCAAAGCCACGGCGGACCCAUGAUGCGGUUGAGCAAGACGCCAGGAUCACCGGGCGUGGAUUACACCAUGGUUUUCUGGAAUGAUGUGGAGCACUGUGCCGUUUUUACUUUCAUGGCGAAUGGUAAAAAAGAAUGCGAGAUGCACGUGUGGGGUGAUCACGUUGGAGCACACGUGGCACAGUGCCAAACCGCAUAUAAGUGUCACUGUACCGGGCCACAAUAUGCGCCCUACAGCCGUCAAUGUAUGUCUUGA